AUUUAUUUACUCCUUAUGUUUUUCAAACUCGAGCAAAACUCCGACAAAACUUGCCUUGCCAUUUUUUCUAUCUAAAAAUAAGUUUUGUGAGACCCGAUCCUUAUUUAGCAUUGUCAACACUUUAAUUUGAGUUUUCUUGUAUUUACUUAUUUUACUUUUAUUUUCCCCAUCAUUUUGGGUUUUUACCACCUUAUUCUUUUACCCCAAAUUUAUCUGCCCAAAGCUGAGCCUUCUCCUUCACACGCAAAACUCAGCUUUUCCUCUUUCCUUGUUCACGUCAGAGUUGGACAGAGAGAAAGGGAGCCUCGUUCAGCUCUUCCCCUCCACGUUUCCAUCAUGCAAAGGGCAACUCCUCCAAGAACAUCAUCUCAGACCUUCAAAAGAGAGAACCCAGGCCAUAAAUCGUCAUUCACCCAUCUCUUCUCAACUUUCCUCUCGUCCCUGGACACAUCAGUCCGUUUACGAGCCCAAAAACACCUAGUUAGAGACCUCCGAUGAAAAAACUUUCUUCAUCAAAGUUGUUCGCCUAUGUCUUCUCUAUCUAGUCUCCAAAUAUCAGCUCCAUCGGAAUUGAUUUGAGACCUGUACACCCCUCGAAGCGGAAGCUGUUCCGGAGCACGCCUGUUCCGGAUUUCUGCUUAAACUUCCUCUCUUGCUCUACCCGAAUCCCCAACACCUUGCUUGAGACUGAUACCAACAGUUGUCUCUGUUUCACUUUGCAUGUUCGAGACUGAGCAAACUUCUUGGCCUGUGGCUAGACUCGAUCCAAUCAGCUCCUUCAGCUCUCUUUCCUGUUGAAAUCCUCAAGAGAAGCUCAUCUUUUUUUUGUUAGUUUUUGGCUUGACAUCGUGGUGGAAUCUUGUGAAGUGGUGGUUGCUACAAGGUUGCAUUGAGGCCAAGUGCUGCAAGAGAAAGCUCGAGUUCCAGGAGAGGUCAGUUCCUCCUUGAGCCACCGGUGGUGGGCAGUGUGCACCAUGCCCUUGUUAUCUCCCCUUUGUCUCUAGCCUUGUGAUUAAUGAAUUCCGGAAAGUGAUUGGCUAGAUGGACGGUUGUGAUGGAAGUGUGAAAGAUGAUCAAUUGCCGUGGGAUUGUAGUUACGUGGUGACGAUCACGUGGAAGCGCAAACCGGUUUUAUCUACUUCUUUUAUUCAAAACAAUAACUCAUGUUUUUAAACUUAGAUAUGGGGGCGGGCAUGGGCAAUGACUGGAUGUAGGAGCCUAACCCCUACUUUAGUUUGUUUUGCAGGCUGUUGUUGUUGAAGCUUGGGCACGGAGGAUAAUCCUUGGAGGACACAAUUUGUUUUACUCUAUUUAAAGUUUAUUUCUUUUCGGCUUGCUUGAUUUCACUAAAGUUUUGUAACAUUAUGUAUGGUUGAUGAUGUGUGUGCUUGCUUACCACCAAAGUGGAACCCUAGGGUUAGAACCUCCAUUUGAAUUUAGGUCCUAGUGGGCUAGACCUAGAAGACUCACAUAAAUUACCAUUUAAUGAACUUAAUGCAAACUUGGGGCUAAGAACUAAAAAUUGACAUAGGUUCUAAAACUCAACUCAACACCACCUUCCUUUCCUCUUAUUCGCCUAGUUCGUAAUCUUGUGAUUACGAGCCAAGCCCA
Molecule: long non-coding RNA, 1611 nt
Organism: Rosa rugosa (rugosa rose)
Lineage: Eukaryota; Viridiplantae; Streptophyta; Magnoliopsida; Rosales; Rosaceae
Exons: 4
Source: RefSeq, a predicted model, not a curated record